Molecule: non-coding RNA, 306 nt
Organism: Ciona intestinalis (vase tunicate)
Lineage: Eukaryota; Metazoa; Chordata; Ascidiacea; Phlebobranchia; Cionidae
Source: RefSeq, a predicted model, not a curated record
AAAGGGAGUUUAAUAUUUAAUAUAAUCUCGGUAUUAGGUUGCUUUGAUUCUGAAAUGGUAUGAGACCACAUACUGGCUGUAUGUACUGGACGGUCUUGAAGUGGACCUUAAUUGCUCUUAUACACGUUAUUAAACCACUACAGAUUCGUAGGAACAAGAAUAAAGAAAAUCAAUAGCGUAACAGCAAUAUGGAUGGACGAAAACUAAGUUUGGUUUGUUAAAUUAGUUGUGGAAAAAUAUAGAUCAAGAUUUCGAGAGAAUAACUUCCGAAGUAUGGACAAGAAGAUCUGAAACCGGUAAGAUUAU